Molecule: long non-coding RNA, 715 nt
Organism: Symphalangus syndactylus (siamang)
Lineage: Eukaryota; Metazoa; Chordata; Mammalia; Primates; Hylobatidae
Source: RefSeq, a predicted model, not a curated record
UAUUGUGUCCAAUGCUUCCAUUGCACAGAUCAGAAAGUGGGGCACUGAGAGGAAGAAUGACUUGUCUGAAGCCGCUAUGCCUGCUUUCCAGGAAGAAAACUGUCACAAUCAGAACUGAGCAACCAAGCCACACUAGACAUUACAGCAGAGGAAGUUUAUGGAAAUGAAGAACCAUUUUUCCUCCUGUUUGGCAGAGGCCAUACCUCUUGGCAUCUGAUCCCUCAUGGUUGCAUCCUUCUGAGAAGCAUAAGCACUUUUUUCCACUUGAGAGGGUAGAAUGAAUGCAUGUAAACACCACCUCUGCACAGAGCUUCCUGCCAAAGACUGAUUUUGUUGUUGCUUGUUUGCAAUUCUCAUUCAGGAGUUGCUGGUGGAGGCUGUGGUUUGGAGACCAGAGGAAUGUCGCGGUUUGCCUCAGGCUCCUUCACAUUUGAUCUCUGUGCAAUUUGAUAAGAGGAGGAAAUGGGCUGUCAAUUAUGAAGAGACUGAAAACCUGAAAAUACUGAGUAUGGUCUUAGUUCCCUCUCCAAAUGGAGCUCAGGAAAAAUGCCAAGCCACACAAGCCACUGAUUACUCAUCUGGCUAUUGUUUCUACCUCACCCUGGCCCAGGAAGACAGAUCUACUGAGGAAAGCACACGAAGACCCAGGAUAAGACCAGUCCGACCUGCCUAUACGGAGCUUUGGAUGAGAGAUCAUCUUAGAUUUUUCUGCCAC